Molecule: transfer RNA, 85 nt
Filed under: Felis catus (domestic cat)
Lineage: Eukaryota; Metazoa; Chordata; Mammalia; Carnivora; Felidae
Rfam family: tRNA
About the family: Transfer RNA (tRNA) molecules are approximately 80 nucleotides in length.
Source: Rfam by way of RNAcentral
GCCUGGGUGGCUUAGUCGGUUAAGCGUCCGACUUUGGCUCAGGUCAUGAUCUCACGGUUCGUGGGUUCGAGCCCUGCAUCAGGCU